RNAcentral lists this ribosomal RNA (830 nucleotides) under Coniothyrium hakeae. RNAcentral describes it as "eukaryotic LSU rRNA". It matches the Rfam family "Eukaryotic large subunit ribosomal RNA", at positions 86 to 934 of the family's 3401-position model. Lineage: Eukaryota; Fungi; Ascomycota; Dothideomycetes; Pleosporales; Coniothyriaceae. The record is from RNAcentral.
ACGGCGAGUGAAGCGGCAACAGCUCAAAUUUGAAAUCUGGCUCUUUCAGGGUCCGAGUUGUAAUUUGCAGAGGGCGCUUUGGCGUUGGCAGCGGUCCAAGUUCCUUGGAACAGGACGUCACAGAGGGUGAGAAUCCCGUACGUGGUCGCUAACCUUCGCCGUGUAAAGCCCCUUCGACGAGUCGAGUUGUUUGGGAAUGCAGCUCUAAAUGGGAGGUAAAUUUCUUCUAAAGCUAAAUACUGGCCAGAGACCGAUAGCGCACAAGUAGAGUGAUCGAAAGAUGAAAAGCACUUUGGAAAGAGAGUCAAAUAGCACGUGAAAUUGUUGAAAGGGAAGCGCUUGCAGCCAGACUUGCCUGUAGUUGCUCAUCCGGACUUUUGUCCGGUGCACUCUUCUGCGGGCAGGCCAGCAUCAGUUUGGGCGGUUGGAGAAAGGUCUCUAUCACGUACCUCCCUUCGGGGUGGCCUUAUAGGGGAGACGUCAUGCAACCAGCCUGGACUGAGGUCCGCGCAUCUGCUAGGAUGCUGGCGUAAUGGCUGUAAGCGGCCCGUCUUGAAACACGGACCAAGGAGUCUAACAUCUAUGCGAGUGUUUGGGUGUCAAGCCCGAGCGCGUAAUGAAAGUGAACGGAGGUGGGAACCCUUAAGGGUGCACCAUCGACCGAUCCUGAUGUCUUCGGAUGGAUUUGAGUAAGAGCAUGGCUGUUGGGACCCGAAAGAUGGUGAACUAUGCUUGAAUAGGGUGAAGCCAGAGGAAACUCUGGUGGAGGCUCGCAGCGGUUCUGACGUGCAAAUCGAUCGUCAAAUUUGGGCAUAGGGGCGAAAGACUAA